AAGGAAUAUUGCUCAAUGGGGGAAACCCUGAAGCAGCAACGCCGCGUGAAGGAUGAAAUACUUUUGUAUGUAAACUUCUGUAAGAUGGGAAAAAUAUUCUCCUCGGGAGAAUUGAUUGUACCAUCAGAGUAAGCCCCGGCUAACUACGUGCCAGCAGCCGCGGUAAUACGUAGGGGGCAAGCGUUGUCCGGAUUCACUGGGUGUAAAGGGUGCUCAGGCGGACUUGUAAGUCAGAGGUGAAACUCCGAAGCUUAACUUCGGAACUGCCUUUGAUACUGCAAGUCUCGAGUACGGGAGAGGGUAAUGGAAUAACAGGUGUAGCAGUGAAAUGCGUAGAUAUCUGUUAGAACACCAAUGGCGAAGGCAGUUGCCUGGCCCGUUACUGACGCUAAAGCACGAAAGUGUGGGUAGCAAAC
This 416-nucleotide ribosomal RNA is filed under the name uncultured bacterium. RNAcentral describes it as "bacterial SSU rRNA". It matches the Rfam family "Bacterial small subunit ribosomal RNA", at positions 356 to 773 of the family's 1533-position model. The record is from RNAcentral.